Long non-coding RNA from Ostrinia furnacalis (Asian corn borer), 151 nucleotides. RefSeq lists it as uncharacterized. The transcript is spliced from 2 exons. NCBI's taxonomy places the organism in Eukaryota, Metazoa, Arthropoda, Insecta, Lepidoptera, Crambidae. The record is from RefSeq and is a predicted model, not a curated record.
CAUUUUCUACACAGAAGACACCGCGAAAAAGCGGUCAGAAGAUUUGAAAGAAGUGACAGGUUUGGAGAUUAAACUAAAUGAUGGUCUAUCUCAAAAGAUGUGUACAAAAUGCAUAGAUACAUUUAAUUUGGCGCUACAAUUCAGGAUUAAA